RNAcentral lists this long non-coding RNA (1123 nucleotides) under Felis catus (domestic cat). RNAcentral's name for it is "lncRNA (ENSFCAG00000052516.1)". Lineage: Eukaryota; Metazoa; Chordata; Mammalia; Carnivora; Felidae. The record is from RNAcentral.
AACAGGCUUUCAGUUGCUAUAAAGCAGUUUCUUUACAUAAGCAGUUUGUUUUCUUUAGCGAUAGUAUAACUCCUAUUGGAAUGAUUUGACCGGCAACAACCAUAUGACAAUUUCUUUAUCGAGCCAGGCACCAGCCUCAAGGCACCGGCUGAGGGCUAUAGCCCUGGCCAUUGGGGCACCUGCACCCUGGGGAGCCCCCCUGUGAAUGCCUGGCCUCUGGUGAUGCCACUUCUUUCCUGUUGUUCCCCCACCUGUGGUGGUGGUAGCUGCUUCCUGCCGUUAGUAAUAUCCAGAUUAUUUUAGCCUGCGAAUUUUUGCUCUUUCAGUGCUCCAAGAACCAUACAACCAAGUCCUGAGUUAAAUCCCCUCUGUUUUAAAUACCUAGCAUAACUAUUCUCUUGACCAGAUCCCAGCUGAUAGCAUAUACCAAGAGAAACAGUUGGCACCGACCAGACCAGAGAGAUGCCAGGGAUGGAGCAGAGGGGCAGUAACCAGGGAACGAGCUGGAGCUGUGCGGGGGGCAGGAACUAGAGGGAGGAUUUCUAGGGCAACCCACCCAGUUGGUUGAUGAUGCAACUUUGGCAGAGUGUGCUGUCAUAAUGGCGCCCUCACCAGUGUUUCCUGCUCUCUAGCUGAGUGGCCUUGUCAACGCCUCAUCCACUACUUACAACAUGGGUCUUCAGUUUGCAAAAUGUGAAGGUUAGUCCAGAGGAAUCCCAUGCCAUGCUUCUUUUUGGCUGCAUGGAUCCAAGGGAAAUAUGGAUAUGAGCAAGUAACAAGAACACGUCAGCUGCAGUUUACUUUCAUCCUUAAGUGUGUUGCCCUUGACAGUUUUAAUAACUAUUUCUGUCUAAGUUACAAAGCUUUGUACUGUCUGUUUGGCUUUUAGUUAAAUUGGCUCCCUGAAAAAGGAAUAUAUGCUAACGCUCAUGCUCCAGUUGCUUUCAAGUAAAGCAGAUUAGCAAUAUCAUGCAUCAUGUCGGUUUCUGCUCAGUAAUCACAAAUGUUGACAUGUUUCUUCAAAAAUGUAUUCACUACAUCUGCUGCUUUCUGAAAGACUGAAAUAGUGGCUCUUUUUUUGGAAAUGACAUUAAUGGCAUAUUGAUAACCACGUUUGGUUACA